GAUGAAGAACGUAGCGAAAUGCGAUAAGUAGUGUGAAUUGCAGAAUUCAGUGAAUCAUCGAAUCUUUGAACGCACAUUGCGCCCCUUGGUAUUCCAUGGGGCAUGCCUGUUCGAGCGUCAUUUGUACCUUCAAGCUUUGCUUGGUGUUGGGUGUUUGUCUCGCCUUUGCGUGUAGACUCGCCUUAAAAUAAUUGGCAGCCGGCGUAUUGAUUUCGGAGCGCAGUACAUCUCGCGCUUUGCACUCAUAACGACAGCGUCCAAAAGUACAUUUUACACUCUUGACCUCGGAUCAGGUAGGGAUACCCGCUGAACUUAAGCAUAUCAAUAAGCGGAGGAA
This 337-nucleotide unclassified non-coding RNA is filed under the name soil metagenome. RNAcentral describes it as "partial contains 5.8S ribosomal RNA, internal transcribed spacer 2, and large subunit ribosomal RNA". The stretch from base 1 to 120 matches the Rfam family "5.8S ribosomal RNA", at positions 35 to 154 of the family's 154-position model. The record is from RNAcentral.